RNAcentral lists this ribosomal RNA (510 nucleotides) under Ptycta haleakalae. Its description in RNAcentral is "partial 16S ribosomal RNA". The stretch from base 377 to 510 matches the Rfam family "Bacterial large subunit ribosomal RNA", at positions 2473 to 2607 of the family's 2925-position model. RNAcentral also lists the same sequence under 1 other name. Lineage: Eukaryota; Metazoa; Arthropoda; Insecta; Psocodea; Psocidae. The record is from RNAcentral.
AAAACAUGUCUUUUUGAUAAAAAUUUAAAGUCAGGUCUGCUCACUGAAUAAUUUUAAAGAGCCGCAGUAUACUGACUGUGCAAAGGUAGCAUAAUCAAUAGUUUUUUAAUUGAAAACUGGAAUGAAAGAUUAGACGAAAAAUUAAUUUUCUUUAUUUUAAUAAAUUUAAUUUUAAAUUUAAGUGAAAAUGCUUAAAUAAAAUUAAAAGACGAGAAGACCCUAUAGAUUUUUAUUAUUGAAAUAAAUUUAUAAAUGUGAUUUAAUAAAAUAAUUUAAUUGGGGUGAUUUUAUAAUAUAAAUAACUUAAUUUCUUGAAACCAUAAAUAAUUGAAUUUUUGAUCUAAAAUUUUUAAAGAAAAGAUUAAAUUACCUUAGGGAUAACAGCGUAAUUUUAUUUAAGAGUUCAUAUCUAUAAUAAAGUUUGCGACCUCGAUGUUGAAUUAAGAUAAUAUAUUGGAGUAGAAAUUAAUAUAAUUAGUCUGUUCGACUAUUAAAUUCUUACGUGAUCUG